RNAcentral lists this long non-coding RNA (2928 nucleotides) under Lupinus angustifolius (narrow-leaved blue lupine). Its description in RNAcentral is "long non-coding RNA (LANG_LNC002054)". Lineage: Eukaryota; Viridiplantae; Streptophyta; Magnoliopsida; Fabales; Fabaceae. The record is from RNAcentral.
UUUUCAUAAACAUUUUUACUUGCUAAGUAAAACGAUUAACGGCACCGCAGAAGUUUCUAAGAGAAUGAGGAAAAGCAUGUUCCUCUUGAUAAGAAAAGAAAGUUUUAUCCUUAUCACUCAUAAUAGUUUUAAAGUAAAGUAUUGUAUUCUCUAACUGUGUAAUAUUUAGGCAAAAAUAGCCAACAUUCAAACGUUUGUUUCAUAAACAUAUACACAGUAGAUUAAAAUUAAAGACUUCGAUUCCUGGGAGCUGGAGUGACACUUGUUGAGAGGAGAGACAGCCACGAACACCGGAAGAGAUAGUUCCUUACACACAAAAAAUGGUUGUAUUACACAGAAGAUAAAAGUACUUUCUGAACAAAAAGUAUAUCAUUUAAAAUCAUUGUAGUAUGUACCUCCUUCCCUUGCACAAAAUAUUACUGCCAACCAAUGUAAAAGCAUGGCAGUGUGGUUCAAUAGUUAACAAUUUAAAGAAAGUCAUAAGAUAUUAAAAUGUAAAUUUUACUCAGAUGGCAGUUGAUUAUGUCUUUAAACCCUUUCUAUUCCAUUAGUCCACAAUUACUGCAAUUCUUUUCAUCUCAUCAUAUUAGUGUAUAUUAGGCCUGAUUACAUUUGCACUAAUAUUAUUAAAGAAAAACUCUUUUUAACCUCAAUCUUAUAGUUUAUCCUUGUUAGUUAGUGCAAUAUAAAGGAAUAAAAGUGUCAUCUACAUCAAUUUCAUUUGAUUGUUAGUAUGUUAUGUAGAUGAACAGCUUUAUAGAGCAGCACACAUAGCCACUAAAUUGCUUGAUUGUUCUACUGUAACGAGUCACGACGCAAGGAUAGAAGACCUUUAUAAGAAGCUGAGUCCAACACCAGUAGAUUAUGCUGCUAAAUUCCUUCCUUGGAUCAUCUAGAAGGACCAUAACUUUGAACCAAGUGACAGGUUUUUUCACAUUUUUAAUGGGUCUUUUUCAUAAAAUUGCUGGAAUUCAAGCAUUUUAGUAGCUGAUAAUACAUAUUCAAGUACACAACUCCUAACUCAUAGCAAAUGGUUUCUUAAGUUGUGAUGAUGCAUGCAACCAUGAACAAAAAUAGUCUGCAAGACCAAAUAACAUUACACAAGUUUUAGGCAAAUUAGUCUUCCAUUUAACCCUUCUCCAACACCUUCUAUUAUUGCUGGUGUUGCUGCCUAUAUCAUAUUCACUACUAACAUCUUAGUAGGAGUAGCCUUUGACGAACAACUCCUUCUUUGCUUCAUCAGAUUCACCCUCACCGGUGUACUUUCCAAGCUGAGCCAGUGAGUUGGACUUGGCACGGAAAAGGAGUGCAUCCUGUGCCGCCUUCACGUUCUCAGGGAGGCCUCCCCAUGUCUUCAAUGUAGUGUUCUGGAGGGCUCUGGCGUAUGAGAAUGACACGUGCCAUGGGUUAGGGGAUUGGUUUAUGGCAUUCAAGUUGAGGGUUGCUUCAACCUCAGAUUGUCCACCAGAUAAGAACUGCACAACAUAACUUCGGUCAGUACAUGAACAUUGUAUUAGUGAGUCAGAGGGAUGCUUUUGGAACAUAAAGAAUAAUGCAUUCGAUUGUGUCACUUACCAUAAUUCCAGGGACAGCAGAGGGAACUCUCCUGUGAAGGAGUUUGAGGGUGUACUCAGCAACCUUCUGAGGAGAUGCCUUCUCCUUGGAUUCAGCUCCCGGAGUAACCAUGCUAGGCUUCAGGAGAAUACCCUCAAACAGGACAUUGUUCUCAGCAAGGUAGAAGAAAACUUCAGCCCAGACCUUUUGGGCGACUUCGAAAGUCCUUUCAAUACUAUGUUCACCAUCAAGCAAGAUCUCUGGCUCCACAAUUGGAACCAACCCGUUGUCCUAGAAAACCAUUAAAUGAAAAAACAAUAAAAAACCGCACAUUCAGAAAACCGUAGAAACAUAUCCUAGCUCAAGUUACUUAUAUAACUGUAACAAAAAAGGUGUUAAUUAUAUGAGUUGAAUGGUUUUCUCACCUGAGAAAUUGCAGCAUAACGAGCCAGACCCCAGGCUGCUUCCUUAACUGCGAGAGCAGAGGGACCGUUGGGGAUGCUCACAACAGUACGCCUAACAUACGUAUUCAGAUAAAUUUAGUACUGUGAUGUAAAUAUGAACAUCAAUAUCAGAUUUUUAUGCAUUACAAGGGGAAUCUAGAUACACACUCACCAUUUGGCGAAGCGGGCACCUUGCUGGUAGUACGCAGCUGUGCGAGAUGCAAGACCGUCCAGACCUUGGCACCAUGACUCAUCAUUGGAACCAACUAGGGGCACCAAACCCUAUUUUUCUCGGCAUAUUAACCACUUGUUAACAUAUAUGAUGCCAUAAAUACUGCUUAACUCCUCUACCAUCAAUCAUCAAGUCUCUCCAAUAAAAUAGUACUAAUCAAGAAAAAUAAUCCACUCUAACAUAAAUCAUUUCAGUGUGUUUGCUUUCACAUACAAAUGUUACGAAGUAGGCGAAAAUUCUAAUCUGCUCCGAGAACUAGAGAUUUUCUUACAUCUGUUUUGAGGGCUAUUAGUAUCCCUACUUCAACUACAUUCUUAAUGUAGUUAAUGUUUUACAAAUCUCUUGCUCAAAGAGCACCUAGGAAUCUCUCACACACAAGGUACCUAUAAUGCUUAGAAUAACAUCAAAAUAUGUUAAAAUUUCCUAUAUGUUACAUAUAACGAUUGUUUAUGUAAGGGCGUGAAACAUCUUCCUAUAUUAUUCAUAUCAGAAUUCUUGCUUAUUCUUUUCAAUAUUCGUUAUUAAGGCGCUGCACGAUCUAAAAUUGUAUACAAGAGAGUUUAAUUCUGGGUGGCCUACCUUGUCAACUUUAAUACCAGGAAUAAUGUUCUGCUCAACAAGUACAUCUACAAUCUUCUUUCCAUCAACUGUGGAUUGGUAGAGAGUUUCCUCAAAGAGAAUGGCACCAGAGAUGUACUG